GGAAGGUGGGGAUGACGUCAAAUCAUCAUGCCCCUUAUGACCUGGGCUACACACGUGCUACAAUGGACAGAACAAAGGGCUGCAAGACCGCAAGGUUUAGCCAAUCCCAUAAAUCUGUUCUCAGUUCGGAUCGCAGUCUGCAACUCGACUGCGUGAAGCUGGAAUCGCUAGUAAUCGCGGAUCAGCAUGCCGCGGUGAAUACGUUCCCGGGCCUUGUACACACCGCCCGUCACACCACGAGAGUUUGCAACACCCGAAGUCGGUGAGGUAACCUUUAUGGAGCCAGCCGC
RNAcentral lists this ribosomal RNA (290 nucleotides) under Bacillus pumilus. RNAcentral describes it as "partial 16S ribosomal RNA". It matches the Rfam family "Bacterial small subunit ribosomal RNA", at positions 1168 to 1456 of the family's 1533-position model. The record is from RNAcentral. Lineage: Bacteria; Bacillati; Bacillota; Bacilli; Caryophanales; Bacillaceae.